RNAcentral lists this ribosomal RNA (497 nucleotides) under uncultured bacterium. RNAcentral describes it as "partial 16S ribosomal RNA". It matches the Rfam family "Bacterial small subunit ribosomal RNA", at positions 28 to 507 of the family's 1533-position model. The record is from RNAcentral.
GAUGAACGCUGGCGGCGUGCCUAAUACAUGCAAGUCGAGCGAACAGACGAGGAGCUUGCUCCUCUGACGUUAGCGGCGGACGGGUGAGUAACACGUGGAUAACCUACCUAUAAGACUGGGAUAACUUCGGGAAACCGGAGCUAAUACCGGAUAAUAUAUUGAACCGCAUGGUUCAAUAGUGAAAGACGGUUUUGCUGUCACUUAUAGAUGGAUCCGCGCCGCAUUAGCUAGUUGGUAAGGUAACGGCUUACCAAGGCAACGAUGCGUAGCCGACCUGAGAGGGUGAUCGGCCACACUGGAACUGAGCCACGGUCCAGGCUCCUACGGGAGGCAGCAGUAGGGAAUCUGCCGCAAUGGGCGAAAGCCUGACGGAGCAACGCCGCGUGAGAGAUAAAGGUCUUCGGAUCGUAAAACUCUGUUAUUAGGGAAGAACAAAUGUGUAAGUAACUAUGCACGGCUUGACGGUACCUAAUCAGAAAGCCACGGCUAACUACGUG